AAACCACUAAUCCAAACGGACUUGUUUUUCAGAUUCGAAAUGCUACAAUGGUGUUUUUGAAAAACAACCCCAAAAACAGCUAAUCCAAACGGAGCCAUGGUACUAUAUAUUCACGCUUAAGAUGAAUUCGAUUUUUAAUUGCCAACCUUCUCGUGAAUACAAAAUCGUAUAACCCUAAAAACCCAACAAUUUAUAAACCUUAAAGCUUGUUUUCGUCAAUCAACCAGUUAGAUAUGAUAGGUUUUUACCUUAAUCUGAUCAAGCUACCAAGCUCAAGUCCGCUAUAUAAAGCAUAGGUUGAGGCAGCACAGCAUGCACAAUACACACGGCAUAACUUUCUCAAUAUCUAGGUCAUGGCUUCUCUUACCAUGCCAACUCUCUCCUCCAACCUUGCCUAUUCCUCCUCUAUAGCACAUUUCAUCUCACUUGCAAAACCCGCUCACCCAAAUCGCAAAACAGGCCCAAAAUUUACAUGCAAUUCCACAAAAGGUGACCAAAACUCCAGUGAUCAUGACACUGCAGGCUCCAAAAAUGGAGAAACUUCUUUACUGAAGCUUGAUAGAAGAAAUGUGCUACUUGGCAUUGGAGGAGGGCUCUAUGGUGCCCUCCAAAAAUGGUACUAUAUAUUCACGCUUAAGAUGAAUUCGAUUUUUAAUUGCCAACCUUCUCGUGAAUACAAAAUCGUAUAACCCUAAAAACCCAACAAUUUAUAAACCUUAAAGCUUGUUUUCGUCAAUCAACCAGUUAGAUAUGAUAGGUUUUUACCUUAAUCUGAUCAAGCUACCAAGCUCAAGUCCGCUAUAUAAAGCAUAGGUUGAGGCAGCACAGCAUGCACAAUACACACGGCAUAACUUUCUCAAUAUCUAGGUCAUGGCUUCUCUUACCAUGCCAACUCUCUCCUCCAACCUUGCCUAUUCCUCCUCUAUAGCACAUUUCAUCUCACUUGCAAAACCCGCUCACCCAAAUCGCAAAACAGGCCCAAAAUUUACAUGCAAUUCCACAAAAGGUGACCA
Molecule: long non-coding RNA, 1013 nt
Filed under: Coffea arabica (coffee)
Lineage: Eukaryota; Viridiplantae; Streptophyta; Magnoliopsida; Gentianales; Rubiaceae
Description: long non-coding RNA (CARA_LNC003899)
Source: RNAcentral